AUUGAACGCUGGCGGCAUGCUUUACACAUGCAAGUCGAACGGCAGCGCGGGCUUCGGCCUGGCGGCGAGUGGCGAACGGGUGAGUAAUGCAUCGGAACGUGCCCAGUAGUGGGGGAUAGCCCGGCGAAAGCCGGAUUAAUACCGCAUACGACCUGAGGGUGAAAGCGGGGGACCGAAAGGCCUCGCGCUAUAGGAGCGGCCGAUGUCGGAUUAGCUAGUUGGUGGGGUAAAGGCUUACCAAGGCGACGAUCCGUAGCUGGUCUGAGAGGACGACUAGCCACACUGGGACUGGGACACGGCCCAGACUCCUACGGGAGGCAGCAGUGGGGAAUUUUGGACAAUGGGGGCAACCCUGAUCCAGCCAUGCCGCGUGCGGGAAGAAGGCCUUCGGGUUGUAAACCGCUUUUGUUCGGGAAGAAAUCCUCUGGGCUAAUACCCCGGGGGGAUGACGGUACCGGAAGAAUAAGCACCGGCUAACUACGUG
Molecule: ribosomal RNA, 484 nt
Filed under: uncultured bacterium
Lineage: Bacteria
Description: partial 16S ribosomal RNA
Rfam family: Bacterial small subunit ribosomal RNA
Source: RNAcentral